CCUACGGGAGGCAGCAGUGGGGAAUUUUGGACAAUGGGCGCAAGCCUGAUCCAGCAAUGCCGCGUGAGUGAAGAAGGCCUUCGGGUUGUAAAGCUCUUUUGUCAGGGAAGAAACGGCUCCAGCUAAUAUCUGGGGCUAAUGACGGUACCUGAAGAAUAAGCACCGGCUAACUACGUGCCAGCAGCCGCGGUAAUACGUAGGGUGCAAGCGUUAAUCGGAAUUACUGGGCGUAAAGCGUGCGCAGGCGGUUUUGUAAGUCUGUCGUGAAAGCCCCGGGCUCAACCUGGGAAUUGCGAUGGAGACUGCAAGGCUUGAAUCUGGCAGAGGGGGGUAGAAUUCCACGUGUAGCAGUGAAAUGCGUAGAGAUGUGGAGGAACACCGAUGGCGAAGGCAGCCCCCUGGGUCAAGAUUGACGCUCAUGCACGAAAGCGUGGGGAGCAAACAGGAUUAGAUACCCUGGUAGUCCACGCCCUAAACGAUGUCUACUAGUUGUCGGGUUUUAAUUAACUUGGUAACGCAGCUAACGCGUGAAGUAGACCGCCGUCGGGAGGUACGGUCGCGAGAAGUUAAAACGUUAACUAAAUAGUAAGUUAGUACGGACGUGAGACGUAGACCGACGGACGACGACGAGGGAGGAGG
This 639-nucleotide ribosomal RNA is filed under the name uncultured bacterium. Its description in RNAcentral is "bacterial SSU rRNA". The stretch from base 1 to 542 matches the Rfam family "Bacterial small subunit ribosomal RNA", at positions 338 to 873 of the family's 1533-position model. The record is from RNAcentral.